Molecule: long non-coding RNA, 347 nt
Organism: Coccinella septempunctata (seven-spotted ladybird)
Lineage: Eukaryota; Metazoa; Arthropoda; Insecta; Coleoptera; Coccinellidae
Exons: 3
Source: RefSeq, a predicted model, not a curated record
AUAGGCGAUGUGUCAUCUUUAUUUUUGAUCCUAGUCGGCGGACGUCUAGCCGCGCUUCUACCAAUCACCGCCCUGGAUUUUUGGAAGCUGAGGUCCAGCUGGUUGGAAGGAAUCUGUAACAGUCGAUAAUUGUCAAGGGAAGUACUGAAGUAAUUGUCUGGAGUGACUUCUGGUCUUAUCUGUCUUGAGUAUUCGUCAUCUUGAUUCCUGUUAGAUGUGAAGCGAAAAAUGUGCGUUCAUCUAUGCUUCCCCUGGAAACUCGAAGAAAUAAGGUCCUUUCGUUUGCAUAAAAAGUGUAGCACUUUACUACACUCGAUUUGAUUUACACCAGUGUAGAGGAAGUGUAG